Molecule: ribosomal RNA, 423 nt
Filed under: uncultured bacterium
Lineage: Bacteria
Description: bacterial SSU rRNA
Rfam family: Bacterial small subunit ribosomal RNA
Source: RNAcentral
AAGACCUUGCGCUUUUGGAGCGGCCGAUGUCUGAUUAGCUUGUUGGUGAGGUAAARGCUUACCAAGGCUUCGAUCAGUAGCUGGUCUGAGAGGACGACCAGCCACACUGGGACUGAGACACGGCCCAGACUCCUACGGGAGGCAGCAGUGGGGAAUUUUGGACAAUGGGGGCAACCCUGAUCCAGCCAUGCCGCGUGAGUGAAGAAGGCCUUCGGGUUGUAAAGCUCUUUCAGCCGGAAMGAAACGGUUACGGUUAAUACCCGUGACUACUGACGGUACCGGAAGAAGAAGCACCGGCUAACUACGUGCCAGCAGCCGCGGUAAUACGUAGGGUGCGAGCGUUAAUCGGAAUUACUGGGCGUAAAGCGUGCGCAGGUGGUUUUGUAAGUCAGAUGUGAAAUCCCCGGGCUUAACCUGGGAACU